RNAcentral lists this long non-coding RNA (1448 nucleotides) under Theobroma cacao (cacao). Its description in RNAcentral is "long non-coding RNA (TCAC_LNC004784)". The record is from RNAcentral. Lineage: Eukaryota; Viridiplantae; Streptophyta; Magnoliopsida; Malvales; Malvaceae.
CCGCACUCACAACUCGAUGGCCUCCACUUUCCAAGCCAUUCUCCUUGAUAGAAUUGGGAGAGCUCAUUGCUCACUGAAGCUCCCAGUGAGUAAGCCUUUCAUAAAAUCUUAGUCACUAUGUAUCUUUGAUGCUCAUCUUUUUCUUGUUUCGUUUAAUUUCCAUGUAAUUUGCUUUUCUGCAUAUGAAAAGAGAAUUAAACCUUGUAGUUUUUCUCCAUUUUCAAUAAAAUUUGUUAGUUUAUUUAUAGACUCAUUUAGUUAUGCUCAUUAAUAUACCCCUUAUCUUCUACUAUGCAAUAGUAUUUUUAUGAGCUUUCAACAUUCUAACCCACAGAACGAAUCUUAGGAGGGUAGGUUGGACAAGUAAUUAAGAAGUCCUUCACAUUACCUUCAUUUAUGCAUAGAGAGAUGAAAUUAUAUGCACGUGUAAGAAUAUGUAAGAAGUUGCCUUUAUUUGCGCUGCACGUACUUAUUAGUUAAUUUUGAACUUUAUUUCACCUAAAUAAUGGGGUGGGUUAAUCCUAAGGAAAGUUCUGAAAAGGCCAAAGUCUUUCAACAAUUCUUGAUUCCCAACUGUUUUAUCCAAUUUCUGCCUAGUCCCCCAAAACGCAUUUGCAGCUUUUACAGAAGCGACAGUGUUUUUUUCCUCAAAAUCUUAUAUGAUCCACCUUCAAUUUUUUGAAGGAAAUUCAUGGUCUAUUACAACUCUCUAGACUCGUUAAUUAGUUUUCUUUGGCACCAAAACUAAUGAUCCGGAUCGCAUUGCUGAUUGUCGUAUCCUUCCGAGAUGACAAGAAAAUUUCCAGACAUUCAAAUAAAAGAUACAUAAAGGGUGCCACUUGUCUAACAUAAAAGCUGCCAUUUUGUCUACUUCUAAGAAGACCUUCGGGGCUUCUUUUAAUAUAGCGGUAUAGAUAUCCAAAUCUUGUCUAUAAUACUAACCAGAAAUCAAUGUUUUUUUGGCUAAAUCAGCGUCCACCGGCUAAUUGGUAUCGAAGCUUUCAUGGGCACCUUUUACUCCCAAAUUUUAAUUGACUCAGAUUCAAGAGUCGGACACAUAUGAUGAAGUACAAAAAACACUAAAUAAAUCAACAGUUCGUGGAAUAUUAAUAAAGGAAAAACAAAAAGCUCAUCCAAAUAACAUCUUAAUAUAUCCCAAUUAUAACUCUACCGUGAAAAUGUAGAACAGGGUCUAUAUCAAACCUUUAGCAUGCCCUCUCAGUCAGAGAAAUGGCUUUUGCUUCGCAAAAAUCAACCAGGUUCUCCAUAAAGCAAUGAUACAUGACGUAUCUAAAGGAAAGAUAUUCAUAUGCCUGUCCAUUGCCGCCUGAUCUUUAAGUCAUCCAGUGGCGUGAUUUGAAUUGGUUUCUGAUACAUGUCGAGGCAUGUAUAAUUUUAAUUUCCAUACUUCAGGUAAGGCAAGUGAGGUAUGGUUAGCAUCAUUGGUG